Molecule: long non-coding RNA, 645 nt
Organism: Equus quagga
Lineage: Eukaryota; Metazoa; Chordata; Mammalia; Perissodactyla; Equidae
Exons: 3
Source: RefSeq, a predicted model, not a curated record
CUGUCCUGGCUGCGUGCACAGAUACCUGGGCUCUGACCUGCUGUAGCAAAUUUCCUUUCUGUCGAUGGCUUACUUCUCAUGUUCACUUCUCCAGGUGAGUAUGACAGGUGGCAUCAGGGAGGAGUGCCCUGGGUCCUGACCACAGCUUUUGGGACCUGCUCACCAUCAUGCAGCAACUCUACAAUCUGCCGACUGAGGUCACUAUCUGUUUUAGCCGUCAGACCUCGGGGGACCACUGCCAAAUGAAACCAGCUAGAACCACAGCCCCCAAUCCCAGCACAGUCUGUCCAUGUUCCCCAUUCAUUUCUAAAGGUGAGAAAAAAGAGGUGAAGCUGUGAUGGGUGCUCAGUUCUGGUCCCUGGGUCUACUCUACCACCCUGACCAAGAGGCCCUUUAGUAAAGAAGCGUUUUAAAUUUGACCAAGACCACAGAGACGUUCACCAACUCCAUUUCCUUUUCUGGGCACACAGGAGGCAUUUCUCAGCCUCCCCUGCAACCUGAGAGAUCUUUCUUGUUCUCUCUGCUUCCAUGGCUACGAGAAGGCCAGUGCUGAAGAUCUUGGUGUCACAAGAUGGAAGGAGCCUGGAUCCCUGAGUUACUCCUUGGAGGGGAGCAGCCAAGCAGAGUUGCCCACUUGGUCUGGAC